Molecule: long non-coding RNA, 740 nt
Organism: Oxyura jamaicensis (ruddy duck)
Lineage: Eukaryota; Metazoa; Chordata; Aves; Anseriformes; Anatidae
Exons: 2
Source: RefSeq, a predicted model, not a curated record
CAUGAUGCCCCUCGCUUGCUUAGGAAGCCGAUCUGCCUGUUGGUUAGCCUCCCCACCUCGAUGGGUGGAGAAGCCAAUGAUGCCACCCGUGGGCAGGGCAUGUGGGCUGUGAAGUCCUUGCCGUGCUCUGCAGGGUAACCGCCGUUCCCACCUCAGAAGCCUGUGCGCAGGGACCUUGAAAUGUCAGGCUGAAGCUAAGCGAACAGGGAAAGGUUAGCGCAGAGGCGACGGGCCUGUUGGCUCUCUUGCAUAAGCUAAUUAUACAGAUUAGAACCUGCAUUCCUCGUUUAUCAUGUCAGAGGGACAGAUUGCGACCCGUAAUGAAAGAAUAGAUGACCAAUGCCUACAAUUACGCAGCCUGCAGAUGUUAAUCUCGGUGACAAGAUCCUGAAAAGAAGCCAGCCCCCACGGCUUCAGGCUGUCUGGGUUGCUGUAACUGACUUUCAGUUGAAUGGAGAAAUUUCUUGCAGAUUGCAAACCAAAUUGCGCUUCCAAGUGCUCUUGAAUUUGAAGAAAAUAUCUUUUUUUUUAAAGUGCUGCUGUCUGUGCUGAGAAAUGCAAGGCAAGCUCCUGAAUGUUUUUAGUGUAGGAUGUAUUCUUAGCUCUGUUCUUGCUUAUGAAAGGGAUCAGUGGUUCCCACUCUUGGGUUAAAAUCUGCUGAGUAAACUUUACUGCUGUAUACUUGCUUAAGUGUGAAUUCACAGAAUCGUUAAGGUUGGAAAAGCCCUCCAGGAUCGUCU